GCUUCCUUGGCUCAGUUGGAAGAGCGCAGGUCUCAUAUUUAGUUAUGAGUGGUCUUGCAGACCAUGCCAUCCUGAGGUCGAGAGUUCGAGCCUCUCAGGGAGCA
This is a non-coding RNA of Crepidotus variabilis, 104 nucleotides long. Lineage: Eukaryota; Fungi; Basidiomycota; Agaricomycetes; Agaricales; Crepidotaceae. The record is from the annotation of a GenBank genome assembly.